ACGUAGGAUGCGAGCGUUGUCCGGAUUUACUGGGUGUAAAGGGAGCGCAGGCGGAUCGGUAAGUCAGUGGUGAAAUCCUCAGGCUCAACCUGGGAACUGCCACUGAUACUGCUGAUCUUGAGUGUGGAAGAGGUCGAUGGAAUUCCUGGUGUAGCAGUGAAAUGCGUAGAUAUCAGGAAGAACACCGAUGGCGAAGGCAGUCGACUGGUCCACAACUGACGCUCAUGCUCGAAAGCGUGGGGAUCAAACAGGAUUAGAUACCCUGGUAGUCCACGCCCUAAACGAUGGAUGCUCGAUGUCGGCCCGCAAGGGUCGGUGUCUAAGCUAACGCAUUAAGCAUCCCACCUGGGAAGUACGAUCGCAAGGUUG
RNAcentral lists this ribosomal RNA (369 nucleotides) under uncultured bacterium. RNAcentral's name for it is "bacterial SSU rRNA". It matches the Rfam family "Bacterial small subunit ribosomal RNA", at positions 525 to 896 of the family's 1533-position model. The record is from RNAcentral.